This 495-nucleotide ribosomal RNA is filed under the name uncultured bacterium. Its description in RNAcentral is "bacterial SSU rRNA". It matches the Rfam family "Bacterial small subunit ribosomal RNA", at positions 30 to 518 of the family's 1533-position model. The record is from RNAcentral.
UGAACGCUAGCGGCAGGCUAACACAUGCAAGUCGAGGGGCAGCGCGAGUAGCAAUACUUGGCCGGCGACCGGCGCAAGGGUGCGUAACGCGUGAGCAACAUGCCCGUAUCAGGGGGAUAAUCCAGGGAAACUUGGUCUAAUACCCCAUAGUAAUUUUGUAAGGCAUCUUAUAAGAUUUAAAGCUUUGGUGGAUACGGAUUGGCUCGCGUGACAUUAGCUGGAUGGUAAGGUAACGGCUUACCAUGGCUAUGAUGUCUAGGGGUUCUGAGAGGAAGGUCCCCCACACUGGAACUGAGACACGGUCCAGACUCCUACGGGAGGCAGCAGUGAGGAAUAUUGGACAAUGGAUGGAAAUCUGAUCCAGCCAUGCCGCGUGAAAAGGAAGAAGGUCCUAUGGAUUGUAAACUUCUUUUGUAUGGGAGCAAUAAGGCCUACGAGUAGGUUGAUGAGAGUACCAUACGAAUAAGCACCGGCUAACUCCGUGCCAGCCGCCGC